Camellia sinensis is the source of this 201-nucleotide non-coding RNA. Lineage: Eukaryota; Viridiplantae; Streptophyta; Magnoliopsida; Ericales; Theaceae. The record is from RefSeq and is a predicted model, not a curated record.
CCGAUGCCCAGUGAUCGAUAGCCAUUGAUCCGGACUCACCGCCGCCAUCGCGAGGGUACAUGGAGGAGAUGGUUGAGCUGGUGGCCACACUCGAGGGCAUGGUCCUACGCAGGGAGGCACAGUUGUCUGUUGCGGGCAUUCAGAUGCCUUCAUGGUCCGGUCAGCCACAGACCAGGCCACCUGGGCCUCAUUGGGGAGCUG